UUUUCUUGCGUUAUGUUUUGUUUGGAUUCUUAGAAAGUGCGAGGAAAAGAAAAUAGUAAAUUUUUUUUAAUGUUAAUUUUACUAAUGUAAUUUGAUUUAUUUAUUGUUUGCGGGCUUGUCUUGAGUCUUGACAUUCGUCAUGGAUAUUGAAUCAAAAUCUUCACUCGUUCAUAGACCAUCAAUUACUUGUCCCCUGUGAUUAUAUGCAAAGGAAAAUAAUUACUUGUCCCUUGUGAUAACAGCAAAG
Molecule: unclassified non-coding RNA, 247 nt
Filed under: Hevea brasiliensis (rubber tree)
Lineage: Eukaryota; Viridiplantae; Streptophyta; Magnoliopsida; Malpighiales; Euphorbiaceae
Source: RNAcentral